GAAGUUUGGAGCUGGAGCUGGAGCUGAUGCGGCAUCUUUUCCCCUUGCUGAGCGUGGAGCAAGGUCAUUCGGAGCCAGGCCCCCGGAGUUACCCUGUGCAUAGUUUGGAGCUCUUGCCUUGGACGGGCUGUCAGCCCAGCAGCACAGGAGGCAGACAGCACAACAUGGGGCACAAGAGUCUGCAUUCCCUACUUGAAACCUUCAGUGGCUUCUCAUUUCUUGGGGAAAAUCCACAUGCCUUACCAUGCUCUUCAAGGCUCUGGUUGCCUGGCCUCAGCUUAUCCCUCUCAUCUCAUCCUACCAGCUUGCUGGGCUCCUGUGGCCACGCCAGCUUCUUUCUGUUCCUCAAACUCCCAGACCCUGGGGUACCUGGGAGGCUCAGUGGUUGAGCAUCUGCCUUUGGCUCAGGUCAUGAUCCUGGCGUCCUGGGAUCGAGUCCUGCAUUGGGCUCCCCACAGGGGCUUGCUUCUGUCUCUGUGUCUCUCAUGAGUAAAUAAAUUAAUUAUUUACUCAUGAGAGACACAGAGAGAGACAGAGGGAGAAGCAGGCUCCAUGCUGGGAGCCCGACGCGGGACUCGAUCCUGGGACUCCGGGAUCAGGCCCUGGACUGAAGGCAGACGCCCAACUGCUGAGCCACCCAGGUAUCCCUAAAUAAAAUCUUAAAAACAAACAAACAAACAAACAAACAAACCCAAAGCCCAGACCAUUGCUGCACUAGGGGCUGUCAUCAAUUUGUGUGUUGGAUAGAUACCUUCAUGAGGAGAUGUAACUUGGGGAGCCUGGGCCUGCACAUAUGCUUCAAGCCACCCGCCUUGAAGUGUGUUGUAGGCUGUAGCCAGGCCUCUGCUUGGCCCCAGUGUGUGUGAGGCCCUGUGGCCCCUGUCGCCAAGGACUGAUUACUCUUCUGGGUAGUCAAAGAACACAAACAUGAAACACUGAACCACCCUGAAAGAGCCAGAGAGUGAACCAGAGGUCACUGGGCUCUUGGCAAUUAAAAGUCAACUAGAAACUAGAAAAAAGAAGCAUCAGACAUAAGCUGUAGGGUGAAGAUUGAGGGACAGCUAGGUGAUCAGGUCUCUAAACAAGACCACUGCUGGGGGGCUCACACUGUGUUUCAGAAGGAGCCAAGGAAGGGACCACCUGGAUUUAAACCCCAGUUCUGUCAUUUAACCAGCUGUGUGUCUUGAGCCCAAUGAUUCAGGCUCUCAGAGGCUAGGUUUUCCCAUCCAUAAAAUGGGGAUAAUGACAGCUGCUUCACAGGACAGAGGGGAGGUAGUAGAGAUAUGAGGCUGGCAUGUUUAGGAGAUGAUCAUCGUCUGAACAUAAUCCCCCGCCCUCUGCCCAUCCCCUUCCCUCCACCCCCCAAGCUGCUGCUGGAGAGAAGAGUGCCUGGCAGGGGGUGAGCCACCCUCAGAUCUGUGUUAGAGUCAGGUGGCCUGUAACUAAAAGUGGACUAGAGCACCUGGCUGGCCUAGUCAGAGGACCACGUGACUCUUGAUCUUGGGGUUGUGAAUUCAAGCCAUGUUGCAUGUGCAGUUACUUAAACUUUAAAAAAUAAAUACAUAAAAAAUAAAAGUGAACUUAUGUAACUAAAAUAAAUAUAACUCAGGUAACUGGCACCUGAUUCACUUCACCCUGGGCCCGGUUCUGCUUUAUAGAUUAAGGGGGCCGGGUGGGUCAGGAGGGGUCUCCCAGUGCAGGCCCAAAUGCAGCAUGUCUGGUAAAAAACAGGCAGAUCCCCGGACCUCCACCCAGACUUACCAAAUCAGACGCCUGGAGGUGGCUCCCAAAUCCAAAUUUCUUUAAACUACCCCAGUGUGCAGCCAGGUCUCACAACUAUCAGCUAGGUGCCCCCCACCCCGAGAAACAUUUUUAGCCCUUAGAGUCUGUUUCUAUCCCCACCAGAUGCCCUGUGCGUGUGUGUGUGGGGGGCAUGGAUCUCAUGUCAAGACAUCUAGGCCAGAGCUCAUCUGCUUUCGUCAGAGAGGGAGCUUCCCCUGAUGCUGCUCC
This 2010-nucleotide long non-coding RNA is filed under the name Canis lupus familiaris (dog). Its description in RNAcentral is "lncRNA (ENSCAFG00000050866.1)". The record is from RNAcentral. Lineage: Eukaryota; Metazoa; Chordata; Mammalia; Carnivora; Canidae.